Molecule: ribosomal RNA, 1467 nt
Filed under: Klebsiella pneumoniae
Lineage: Bacteria; Pseudomonadati; Pseudomonadota; Gammaproteobacteria; Enterobacterales; Enterobacteriaceae
Description: bacterial SSU rRNA
Rfam family: Bacterial small subunit ribosomal RNA
Source: RNAcentral
AGAGUUUGAUCAUGGCUCAGAUUGAACGCUGGCGGCAGGCCUAACACAUGCAAGUCGAGCGGUAGCACAGAGAGCUUGCUCUCGGGUGACGAGCGGCGGACGGGUGAGUAAUGUCUGGGAAACUGCCUGAUGGAGGGGGAUAACUACUGGAAACGGUAGCUAAUACCGCAUAAUGUCGCAAGACCAAAGUGGGGGACCUUCGGGCCUCAUGCCAUCAGAUGUGCCCAGAUGGGAUUAGCUAGUAGGUGGGGUAACGGCUCACCUAGGCGACGAUCCCUAGCUGGUCUGAGAGGAUGACCAGCCACACUGGAACUGAGACACGGUCCAGACUCCUACGGGAGGCAGCAGUGGGGAAUAUUGCACAAUGGGCGCAAGCCUGAUGCAGCCAUGCCGCGUGUGUGAAGAAGGCCUUCGGGUUGUAAAGCACUUUCAGCGGGGAGGAAGGCGGUGAGGUUAAUAACCUCAUCGAUUGACGUUACCCGCAGAAGAAGCACCGGCUAACUCCGUGCCAGCAGCCGCGGUAAUACGGAGGGUGCAAGCGUUAAUCGGAAUUACUGGGCGUAAAGCGCACGCAGGCGGUCUGUCAAGUCGGAUGUGAAAUCCCCGGGCUCAACCUGGGAACUGCAUUCGAAACUGGCAGGCUAGAGUCUUGUAGAGGGGGGUAGAAUUCCAGGUGUAGCGGUGAAAUGCGUAGAGAUCUGGAGGAAUACCGGUGGCGAAGGCGGCCCCCUGGACAAAGACUGACGCUCAGGUGCGAAAGCGUGGGGAGCAAACAGGAUUAGAUACCCUGGUAGUCCACGCCGUAAACGAUGUCGAUUUGGAGGUUGUGCCCUUGAGGCGUGGCUUCCGGAGCUAACGCGUUAAAUCGACCGCCUGGGGAGUACGGCCGCAAGGUUAAAACUCAAAUGAAUUGACGGGGGCCCGCACAAGCGGUGGAGCAUGUGGUUUAAUUCGAUGCAACGCGAAGAACCUUACCUGGUCUUGACAUCCACAGAACUUAGCAGAGAUGCUUUGGUGCCUUCGGGAACUGUGAGACAGGUGCUGCAUGGCUGUCGUCAGCUCGUGUUGUGAAAUGUUGGGUUAAGUCCCGCAACGAGCGCAACCCUUAUCCUUUGUUGCCAGCGGUUAGGCCGGGAACUCAAAGGAGACUGCCAGUGAUAAACUGGAGGAAGGUGGGGAUGACGUCAAGUCAUCAUGGCCCUUACGACCAGGGCUACACACGUGCUACAAUGGCAUAUACAAAGAGAAGCGACCUCGCGAGAGCAAGCGGACCUCAUAAAGUAUGUCGUAGUCCGGAUUGGAGUCUGCAACUCGACUCCAUGAAGUCGGAAUCGCUAGUAAUCGUAGAUCAGAAUGCUACGGUGAAUACGUUCCCGGGCCUUGUACACACCGCCCGUCACACCAUGGGAGUGGGUUGCAAAAGAAGUAGGUAGCUUAACCUUCGGGAGGGCAGCUACUACUUUGUGA